RNAcentral lists this transfer RNA (77 nucleotides) under Candidatus Omnitrophota bacterium. RNAcentral's name for it is "tRNA-Arg". It matches the Rfam family "tRNA". Rfam says of the family: Transfer RNA (tRNA) molecules are approximately 80 nucleotides in length. Their secondary structure includes four short double-helical elements and three loops (D, anti-codon, and T loops). The record is from RNAcentral. Lineage: Bacteria; Pseudomonadati; Candidatus Omnitrophota.
GCGCCUGUGGCUCAACUGGAUAGAGCACUAGCCUACGGAGCUAGUUGUUGCUGGUUCGAAUCCAGCCAGGCGCACCA